AUUGAACGCUGGCGGCAGGCCUAACACAUGCAAGUCGAACGGUAACAGGAAACAGCUUGCUGUUUCGCUGACGAGUGGCGGACGGGUGAGUAAUGUCUGGGAAACUGCCUGAUGGAGGGGGAUAACUACUGGAAACGGUAGCUAAUACCGCAUAACGUCGCAAGACCAAAGAGGGGGACCCUCGGGCCUCUUGCCAUCGGAUGUGCCCAGAUGGGAUUAGCUUGUUGGUGGGGUAACGGCUCACCAAGGCGACGAUCCCUAGCUGGUCUGAGAGGAUGACCAGCCACACUGGAACUGAGACACGGUCCAGACUCCUACGGGAGGCAGCAGUGGGGAAUAUUGCACAAUGGGCGCAAGCCUGAUGCAGCCAUGCCGCGUGUAUGAAGAAGGCCUUCGGGUUGUAAAGUACUUUCAGCGGGGAGGAAGGGAGUAAAGUUAGUACCUUUGCUCAUUGACGUUACCCGCAGAAGAAGCACCGGCUAACUCCAUG
RNAcentral lists this ribosomal RNA (490 nucleotides) under uncultured bacterium. RNAcentral describes it as "partial 16S ribosomal RNA". It matches the Rfam family "Bacterial small subunit ribosomal RNA", at positions 30 to 507 of the family's 1533-position model. The record is from RNAcentral.